AACGAACGCUGGCGGCAGGCCUAACACAUGCAAGUCGAACGGACGUAGCAAUACGUUAGUGGCGCACGGGAGAGUAACGCGUGGGAACCUACCUUUUGGUUCGGGAUAACAUCGGGAAACUGGUGCUAAUACCGGAUAAGCCCUUCGGGGGAAAGAUUUAUUGCCGAAAGAUGGGCCCGCGUUGGAUUAGCUAGUUGGUGAGGUAAUGGCUCACCAAGGCAACGAUCCAUAACCGGUGUGAGAGGAUGAUCAGCCUCACUGGGAACGGGACCCCGCCCAGACUCCUACCGGAAGCAGGCGUGGGGAAUAUUGGAAAAUGGGGGAAACCCUGAUCCAGCCAUGCCGCGUGAAUGAUGAAGGCCUUCGGGUUGUAAAGUUCUUUUGGUGGGGACGAUGAUGACGGUACCCACAGAAUAAGCUCCGGCUAACUUCGUGCCAGCAGCCGCAGUAA
RNAcentral lists this ribosomal RNA (451 nucleotides) under uncultured bacterium. RNAcentral's name for it is "partial 16S ribosomal RNA". It matches the Rfam family "Bacterial small subunit ribosomal RNA", at positions 29 to 523 of the family's 1533-position model. The record is from RNAcentral.